UUUCCGUAGGUGAACCUGCGGAAGGAUCAUUAAAGAGUUCAUGCCCUCACGGGUAGACCUCCCAACCUUGAAUAUUUUUACCUUAGGUGGUUUGGCAGGUCGUGGAAACACCAUCGGCUCCCGCUUAUGCGUGCGUGCCAGAGGAAAAAAACUCUGUGUUUAGUCGUGUCUGAGUUCUUUAACAUAGUGAAAACUUUCAACAACGGAUCUCUUGGUUCUG
This 220-nucleotide unclassified non-coding RNA is filed under the name plant metagenome. RNAcentral's name for it is "partial contains small subunit ribosomal RNA, internal transcribed spacer 1, and 5.8S ribosomal RNA". The record is from RNAcentral.